RNAcentral lists this ribosomal RNA (485 nucleotides) under uncultured bacterium. RNAcentral's name for it is "bacterial SSU rRNA". It matches the Rfam family "Bacterial small subunit ribosomal RNA", at positions 29 to 521 of the family's 1533-position model. The record is from RNAcentral.
AGCGAACGCUAGCGGCGGGCCUAACACAUGCAAGUCGAGCGGAGGGAGCAAUCCUUCAGCGGCGGACGGGUGAGUAACGCGUAGGUAAUGUACCUUCUGGUGGGGAAUAACCGUGGGAAACCAUGGCUAAUACCGCAUAUCGUCCUUACGGAUGAAAGCCUUCGGGCGCCAGAAGAGCAGCCUGCGUCCCAUUAUUUAGUCCUAGUUGGUGAGGUAACGGCUCACCAAGGGUACGAUGGGUAGCUGGUCUGAGAGGAUGAUCAGCCACACUGGAACUGAGACACGGUCCAGACUCCUACGGGAGGCAGCAGUGGGGAAUAUUGCGCAAUGGGCGAAAGCCUGAUCCAGCCAUGCCGCGUGCAGGAAGAAGGCCUUCGGUUGUAAACUAGCUUUGUCUAGAGAAGAAAUACUUCUGGGUUAAUAACUCGGAGGAUGACGGUAUCUGAAGAAUAAGCACCGGCUAACUACGUGCCAGCAGCCGCGGU